This 429-nucleotide ribosomal RNA is filed under the name Bacteroidota bacterium. Its description in RNAcentral is "Bacteroidetes bacterium partial 16S ribosomal RNA". It matches the Rfam family "Bacterial small subunit ribosomal RNA", at positions 355 to 776 of the family's 1533-position model. Lineage: Bacteria; Pseudomonadati; Bacteroidota. The record is from RNAcentral.
UAGGGAAUCUUCCGCAAUGGACGCAAGUCUGACGGAGCAACGCCGCGUGAGUGAAGAAGGAUUUCGGUUCGUAAAACUCUGUUGUUAGAGAAGAACAGCGCAUAGAGUAACUGUUAUGCGUGUGACGGUAUCUAACCAGAAAGCCACGGCUAACUACGUGCCAGCAGCCGCGGUAAUACGUAGGUGGCAAGCGUUGUCCGGAUUUAUUGGGCGUAAAGCGAGCGCAGGCGGUCAAUUAAGUCUGAUGUGAAAGCCCCCGGCUCAACCGGGGAGGGUCAUUGGAAACUGGUUGACUUGAGUGCAGAAGAGGAUAGUGGAAUUCCAUGUGUAGCGGUGAAAUGCGUAGAUAUAUGGAGGAACACCAGUGGCGAAGGCGAUUCUCUGGUCUGUAACUGACGCUGAGGCUCGAAAGCGUGGGUAGCAAACAGG